AACUCGCCUGCAUGAAGUCGGAAUUACUAGUAAUCGCGGAUCAGCAUGCCGCGGUGAAUACGUUCUCGGGCCUUGUACACACCGCCCGUCACACCAUGGGAGUCGGUAACACCCGAAGUCUGUAGCCUGACGCAAGAGGGCGCAGCCGAAGGUGGGAUUGAUGACUGGGGUGAAGUCGUAACAAGGUAGC
This 190-nucleotide ribosomal RNA is filed under the name uncultured bacterium. RNAcentral describes it as "partial 16S ribosomal RNA". It matches the Rfam family "Bacterial small subunit ribosomal RNA", at positions 1309 to 1500 of the family's 1533-position model. The record is from RNAcentral.